Transfer RNA from Sphaerobolus stellatus SS14, 82 nucleotides. It matches the Rfam family "tRNA". From Rfam's summary of the family: Transfer RNA (tRNA) molecules are approximately 80 nucleotides in length. Their secondary structure includes four short double-helical elements and three loops (D, anti-codon, and T loops). Further hydrogen bonds mediate the characteristic L-shaped molecular structure. tRNAs have two regions of fundamental functional importance: the anti-codon, which is responsible for specific mRNA codon recognition, and the 3' end, to which the tRNAs corresponding amino acid is attached (by aminoacyl-tRNA synthetases). tRNAs cope with the degeneracy of the genetic code in two manners: having more than one tRNA (with a specific anti-codon) for a particular amino acid; and 'wobble' base-pairing, i.e. permitting non-standard base-pairing at the 3rd anti-codon position. The record is from Rfam. NCBI's taxonomy places the organism in Eukaryota, Fungi, Basidiomycota, Agaricomycetes, Geastrales, Sphaerobolaceae.
GACGAUGUAGCCAAGUGGUUACGGCGAUUGAUUAGAAAUCAAUUCCUCUUUGAGGGCGUAGGUUCAAAUCCUGCCAUCGUCG